GAUGAACGCUGGCGGCGUGCCUAAUACAUGCAAGUCGAGCGAACGGACGAGAAGCUUGCUUCUCUGAUGUUAGCGGCGGACGGGUGAGUAACACGUGGAUAACCUACCUAUAAGACUGGGAUAACUUCGGGAAACCGGAGCUAAUACCGGAUGAUAUUUUGAACCGCAUUGUUCAAAAGUGAAAGACGGUCUUGCUGUCACUUAUAGAUGGAUCCGCGCUGCAUUAGCUAGUUGGUAAGGUAACGGCUUACCAAGGCAACGAUGCAUAGCCGACCUGAGAGGGUGAUCGGCCACACUGGAACUGAGACACGGUCCAGACUCCUACGGGAGGCAGCAGUAGGGAAUCUUCCGCAAUGGGCGAAAGCCUGACGGAGCAACGCCGCGUGAGUGAUGAAGGUCUUCGGAUCGUAAAACUCUGUUAUUAGGGAAGAACAUAUGUGUAAGUAACUGUGCACAUCUUGACGGUACCUAAUCAGAAAGCCACGGCUAACUACGU
This 496-nucleotide ribosomal RNA is filed under the name uncultured bacterium. RNAcentral's name for it is "partial 16S ribosomal RNA". It matches the Rfam family "Bacterial small subunit ribosomal RNA", at positions 28 to 506 of the family's 1533-position model. The record is from RNAcentral.